RNAcentral lists this ribosomal RNA (404 nucleotides) under Fusobacteriota bacterium. RNAcentral describes it as "Fusobacteria bacterium partial 16S ribosomal RNA". It matches the Rfam family "Bacterial small subunit ribosomal RNA", at positions 355 to 776 of the family's 1533-position model. The record is from RNAcentral. Lineage: Bacteria; Fusobacteriati; Fusobacteriota.
UGGGGAAUAUUGCACAAUGGAGGGAACUCUGAUGCAGCGACGCCGCGUGAGUGAUGAAGGAAUUCGUUUCGUAAAACCCUGUUCUAUGGGAAGAAAAGGACUGUACCAUAGGAGAAAGCUCCGGCCAAAUACGUGCCAGCAGCCGCGGUAAUACGUAUGGAGCGAGCGUUGUCCGGAAUUAUUGGGCGUAAAGGGUGCGGAGGCGGCUUUACAAGUUGGAUGUGAAAUAUUGUGGCUUAACCACAAAAGUGCAUCCAAAACUGAAAAGCUUAAGUUAAGGAGAGGUAAGUGGAAUUCCUGGUGUAACGGUUGAUUGCGUAAAUAACGGGAGGAAUACCAGUGGCGAAGGCGACUUACUGGACUUAAACUGACGCUCAGGCACGAAAGCGUGGGGAGAAAACAGG